AUUAAACGCUGGCGGCAUGCCUUACACAUGCAAGUCGAACGGCAGCACGGGGGCAACCCUGGUGGCGAGUGGCGAACGGGUGAGUAACGCAUCGGAACGUGCCCUAGAGUGGGGGAUAACGUAGCGAAAGUUACGCUAAUACCGCAUAUUCUGUGAGCAGGAAAGCAGGGGAUCGCAAGACCUUGCGCUCUGGGAGCGGCCGAUGUCGGAUUAGCUAGUUGGUGGGGUAAAGGCCUACCAAGGCGACGAUCCGUAGCGGGUCUGAGAGGAUGAUCCGCCACACUGGGACUGAGACACGGCCCAGACUCCUACGGGAGGCAGCAGUGGGGAAUUUUGGGACAAUGGGCGCAAGCCUGAUCCAGCCAUGCCGCGUGAGUGAAGAAGGCCUCGGUU
RNAcentral lists this ribosomal RNA (393 nucleotides) under uncultured bacterium. Its description in RNAcentral is "bacterial SSU rRNA". It matches the Rfam family "Bacterial small subunit ribosomal RNA", at positions 29 to 424 of the family's 1533-position model. The record is from RNAcentral.